AUGAGUGGAAGGAAACAGAUGACGCAACCACCAACCAAACCUCAUAAUCUCCUCUACUCUCACCCAUAUCUCCCCACCUCCUCUUAAGGACUCAGCUCGUCUGUCUUUUUGGGGGAAGGCCUGAAAAGAAUGCUGAAAACAAGUGACCUGGCUGGAAUCUACCACCACGCUACUUCUCUGCUCCAGGACCUUCCAUGGCUCCCACUGGCUCACAGGCAAAAGAAGAGAUGAAGCACACAUUGCAAACACGCUUUGAUCCCUGCAGUGAGAUGAGCGUCAUGAUCAUGCAUGCUUCUCUUCUCCCUUCUCCGGGCCUUUUGAAGUCUACACUCUCCGCUGUGGGAUGGUCUCCUGCCCUACCAGGAGAGCUGGUCUCCACACCGACUUCAAAGACAGCUGAUGUUCCAGAGAAGAAAAACACUGCAAAGAAGCACUCCAAAAUCCUUUUGACCUCAAACAUGACUACAGAAUGGAUACAGCUUUUUAAAUAGCCACUUCCUGCAGCAUUCUAUAGUAUAAUGACCCUUAAAUGACACCCACGCAAAUUACAUAAUUUGCUAAAAUGGAAACCCAGUAAUUCCAUCUUACAUCAAAGUAAAGAAAAAAAAUACCAAACUUUAAAAAUCUGAAGCUCAAUUAAAUAGUAAUUAAAAACGAAAUAUAACUUUCACUUGUUCAAUAAUCCUCACAAUGUCCUAAAACUCUACAAAUGGAUGAAGUGAACAUGAUCUCAGAGAACUACCCACUACAUGUUUAGUAGGCUAGAAUAGACAACAACAUAGAAACUCGGAUCCGCUGGAAAUGAUGCUUUUUCUUUGGGCUCUGGUAUCUGAGGUGGCCAGCUCCUCAUCCCUCACGCCCUUCACUGGCACUGACCUGAGUACCUGCUGGAGACUGAAGCGCUCCCUCCUGGGCCAUGUCUCCUCUACCUUCCCCCUUUUCCACUGCCUCAAAGACAGGCCCCCUGGGAGCCCUUCUGGAACCUGAAGGAGGAGCUGGUCACUGUGUCAUGAUCAGCCACAAUGUGCCAUCCCUCCUCCAUAGCACAGCCACAAGUCCCCAGCAGGGGAGGGCACACAUUUUCCAGUCACAGAGAUCUGGAACGAAGCCCAACGACUGCUUAUUAGCUUUGCAGCCUAACUUCUCUGUGCUUCAGUUUCCUCACCUGCUAAAUCACACCUUCAGAGUCAUGGUGAAUAUGAAAGAAGACAGUAUAUUUAGAGCAGCCAGCACAAUGGCCAGCUUUGUAACUGUUUUCUUCCCUGCUAAGAAAAUAGCAAACACAAAGUGUCUGCAGGUGAGUAUAUCACGACUCUAAUCAGCAAGCACAGAAGACGGUGGCAGCACUGUGAAGAGCACCCAGAAAAAACAAAAAGCAGCCAUUCUCUUUAAAUAUGAGAAACAAUUGUAUCAGUCUCUGAUUUCUAAGAAGGAGUACCAUGACUCCAGCCUCUGUUGUCCUAGAUUCUAUGCCCACUUUUGGCUAUUUUUUUUUUCCUACGUUUUUCAGGUUAUCCUCAAUGAGCAUAAAUUAUUUUUACAAUCAGGAAAAACAAUUU
RNAcentral lists this long non-coding RNA (1559 nucleotides) under Homo sapiens (human). RNAcentral describes it as "HSALNT0311992". The record is from RNAcentral. Lineage: Eukaryota; Metazoa; Chordata; Mammalia; Primates; Hominidae.